GAUGAACGCUGGCGGCGUGCCUAAUACAUGCAAGUCGAGCGAACAGACGAGGAGCUUGCUCCUCUGACGUUAGCGGCGGACGGGUGAGUAACACGUGGAAAACCUACCUAUAAGACUGGGAUAACUUCGGGAAACCGGAGCUAAUACCGCAUAAUAUAUUGAACCGCAUGGUUCAAUAGUGAAAGACGGUUUUGCUGUCACUUAUAGAUGGAUCCGCGCCGCAUUAGCUAGUUGGUAAGGUAACGGCUUACCAAGGCAACGAUGCGUAGCCGACCUGGGAGGGUGAUCGGCCACACUGGAACUGAGACACGGUCCAGACUCCUACGGGAGGCAGCAGUAGGGAAUCUUCCGCAAAGGGCGAAAGCCUGACGGAGCAACGCCGCGUGAGUGAUGAAGGUCUUCGGAUCGUAAAACUCUGUUAUUAGGGAAGAACAAAUGUGUAAGUAACUAUGCACGUCUUGACGGUACCUAAUCAGAAAGCCACGGCUAACUACGUG
This 497-nucleotide ribosomal RNA is filed under the name uncultured bacterium. Its description in RNAcentral is "partial 16S ribosomal RNA". It matches the Rfam family "Bacterial small subunit ribosomal RNA", at positions 28 to 507 of the family's 1533-position model. The record is from RNAcentral.